Molecule: ribosomal RNA, 238 nt
Filed under: Acinetobacter ursingii
Lineage: Bacteria; Pseudomonadati; Pseudomonadota; Gammaproteobacteria; Moraxellales; Moraxellaceae
Description: partial 16S ribosomal RNA
Rfam family: Bacterial small subunit ribosomal RNA
Source: RNAcentral
CCAGCAGCCGCGGUAAUACGUAGGUCCCGAGCGUUGUCCGGAUUUAUUGGGCGUAAAGCGAGCGCAGGUGGUUUAUUAAGUCUGGUGUAAAAGGCAGUGGCUCAACCAUUGUAUGCAUUGGAAACUGGUAGACUUGAGUGCAGGAGAGGAGAGUGGAAUUCCAUGUGUAGCGGUGAAAUGCGUAGAUAUAUGGAGGAACACCGGUGGCGAAAGCGGCUCUCUGGCCUGUAACUGACAC